UACAAGUCCGUGCUUGCCAACAGCUCUGAUAGGCUAAACAGGCGCUAAACACAAGGUAAUCCCAGGUAGGUCCUUAAUCCGCUGCAGACGGUUCGGUUCCUUGUGGACGUUGCCAAAGUAGCUCAUUAAGCACAUUCAACGCCCCACUUUUUUUUUUUUUUCCUUUUUUCUUUUCCUGUUAGUGUGUGCGCAAAGGAGCUGAGCUUCUGGCUGACCUGCUCCUCUUACGCCCCUGCUGGUUCUCCUCUCGGUGGGCUCCGGGAUGCUUCAUGGUGUUUGUGCCAUCUAGGGUUUUCCGCUGUUCUAUUGCAGCCUUUCCGGCACAGAGACCCUACAUCUACUCCAUCUACACGCUCUCCGGACGAGCAAGUCGCCUCUGAAAUAUUAAAGAUAAACUCUCAACUUUGUUGCUUUGGAUUUUUCCGUCUCCUUUUGAAAGAAUCCCUGCUUUCUGUUCGGAUAACUACUUUGGAUAUUGCAACCAUUCCAAGGACGAGGAUUCGAUUAGCGGAGAGCAGACAGGGGGGGGAAGACCUGUUUGUGCGAAUGUAGCGACUUUUCCGGCGAGGAAAUGCACUGACAACUGCAGCGAGCUGGUUAUUUUUACUACAAAAAGAAUGCUGUGAAGCUCCAUGUCGCAGCUUGGCUUCCGGCUAAAAAAGCGCAGAUUUAACGCAGCAUCUGCUGGUGCGGGGAGGGAAAAAAACUCGUCUAGAGCGAGAGAAGGAGCGAUAUGCGGUCGGCGUGCGCCUGGUUUUGCGGUUCUUCUGGAAUUAGUGGAGGAAUGGAAAGGGAGCGGCUGUAAGGUUCAAACCUUGAGAAGGGGGGGGGGGAAAGGAGUUUUGUGUUUGGCACGUAAUGGAUCAUUAUCCGCCGGUGCAGGUAAAAGAUUGAACGGAUGAGGCGGAGGACGUCUUCCCCGGCACAAACGCACACAAAUAUUGUAGCAUUCAUCCGCGGGGGGAGGAGGACCUGCGACUCACUGUUGCCCAAAGGAGAAAUUCAAGGCGGCUUGAAAAACCAAAACGAGACAAAUACAGCCAAGAAGAUGCAAAGCGGACUUGGACCCUAUAUUUCUCAAAUGAAUCAAUAUGUGUUUGGAUACCUGACCUGAUCAAACAGCAGAAGCCUGUGUUUGUGAGUAUGAAUGUGUUCAUUACUGUGACUGAGAUGUUUUGCACAGAUGUUAGGCUUUAGAUUAUCAUGCACCCUUCAUUUUGCACCAGGUGGGUGUGUGGGGAUUCUGCAGUGUGCUGAUGAUGUGAGGCUUAAGUUGGAUCUUGGAUAUUGGAGAGUGUUCAUCUCGUGGUUCAGACUGUGGUUACCUAAACCAGAUAUAUCUAGUCAGGCCUGUGAUUGA
Long non-coding RNA from Poecilia latipinna (sailfin molly), 1360 nucleotides. RefSeq lists it as uncharacterized. Lineage: Eukaryota; Metazoa; Chordata; Actinopteri; Cyprinodontiformes; Poeciliidae. The record is from RefSeq and is a predicted model, not a curated record. The transcript has 3 exons.